This 293-nucleotide ribosomal RNA is filed under the name Gallotia galloti (Gallot's lizard). Its description in RNAcentral is "partial 12S ribosomal RNA". It matches the Rfam family "Bacterial small subunit ribosomal RNA", at positions 892 to 1349 of the family's 1533-position model. Lineage: Eukaryota; Metazoa; Chordata; Lepidosauria; Squamata; Lacertidae. The record is from RNAcentral.
ACUUAAAACUCAAAGGACUUGGCGGUGUCCCACAUUCGACCUAGAGGAGCCUGUCCUAUAAUCGAUACUCCCCGCUCUACCUCACCAGCACUAGCACCAACUUCAGCCUAUAUACCGCCGUCGACAGCUUACCCCCUGAGGGUUUAACAGUAAGCACAAUAGUCCUACCACUAACACGUCAGGUCAAGGUGUAGCUAAUGUGCUGGCAGAGAUUGGCUACAUUUUUUAUUUUAAAAAACACGAAAUGCUAUAUGAAAAACAGCAUGAAGGCGAAUUUAGUAGUAAAACAGACA